Molecule: non-coding RNA, 117 nt
Filed under: Nomascus leucogenys (northern white-cheeked gibbon)
Lineage: Eukaryota; Metazoa; Chordata; Mammalia; Primates; Hylobatidae
Source: Rfam by way of RNAcentral
GCUGGGUGUGAUGGCUCACGCCUGUAAUCCCAGCACUUUGGGAAGCUGAGGUGGGAGGAUCACUUGAGCCCAGGAGCUUGAGACCAGCCUGGGCAACGUAGUGAGACCCCUUCUCUA